UGGGGAAUAUUGCACAAUGGGCGGAAGCCUGAUGCAGCAACGCCGCGUGCGGGAUGACGGCCUUCGGGUUGUAAACCGCUUUCAGCAGGGACGAAGCGUGAGUGACGGUACCUGCAGAAGAAGCACCGGCUAACUACGUGCCAGCAGCCGCGGUGAUACGUAGGGUGCGAGCGUUGUCCGGAUUUAUUGGGCGUAAAGAGCUUGUAGGCGGUUGGUUGCGUCGAAAGUGCAAACUCAGGGCUUAACUCUGAGCCUGCUUUCGAUACGGGCUGACUGGAGGAAGGUAGGGGAGAAUGGAAUUCCCGGUGGAGCGGUGGAAUGCGCAGAUAUCGGGAGGAACACCAGUGGCGAAGGCGGUUCUCUGGACCUUUCCUGACGCUGAGAAGCGAAAGCGUGGGGAGCAAACAGGCUUAGAUACCCUGGUAGUCCACGCUGUAAACGGUGGGUACUAGGUGUGGGGGACAUUCCACGUUCUCUGUGCCGUAGCUAACGCAUUAAGUACCCCGCCUGGGGAGUACGGCCGCAAGGCUA
This 531-nucleotide ribosomal RNA is filed under the name uncultured bacterium. RNAcentral describes it as "bacterial SSU rRNA". It matches the Rfam family "Bacterial small subunit ribosomal RNA", at positions 355 to 896 of the family's 1533-position model. The record is from RNAcentral.